Molecule: long non-coding RNA, 3384 nt
Filed under: Equus caballus (horse)
Lineage: Eukaryota; Metazoa; Chordata; Mammalia; Perissodactyla; Equidae
Description: lncRNA (ENSECAG00000049627.1)
Source: RNAcentral
AGUUGUGAAGGUUUCCAACUACUAUGUAAUUUUUUGAGGAGGGUGGAGAAGGUGGGUAGGGCUCCCCUCAAAAUCCAGCUUUUUCUGAUCCUCCAACAGGGAUUUUCUUUGGUUCUAACAAGUCGAAAGAAGAUGUAUAAGCUAUGUUUAAAGGACUUUUCUGUUGAUACCUAUGUCCCUUUUCCUCCUUUUUUCCUUAAGUAUUUCUGAAGGUAUUAGCAGAUUGCUACUGCUCAUCCUGGGCAGAUAGAGACUGCGGUUUCUCCCUGCUAGAAAAGAUGAAGGAUGCAGAGUUGAGACCAUGUGGGACUGCCAGCUAAGAAGUAGCAGGUCUUACAGAACUGCCUGGCUGAGGAUGGCGGGGGCAUUGAUGUCCCAUAUGGCAGUGGGCAGCCGCUGACCCUGCCCUGAAGAGGCACACCAUUUUCAGAGGCUCUGAGUCUCAAGGGGAGUAAAAGGAAUAAGCAAGCUGUGUUUUACUACUUGUGUAGAUAUUGUAAUUCCCUUCUCAGAAGAUCUUGAUGGUUCUUAUCUUUUAAUCACUGCUUAGUUUUCCUCAGGCAGAUCAUUAAGAGAGAUCCUGGGAGACACCAGUAGAUUUGCAAAGCAGUUUGCUCAAGCUUGGUAAAUUAACAGCAUAAGCUGAUUUUCCUGGUUUAUUUUAGAACUGUUGUUAGCUCUCACUUUCUAGGAUUUGGUCCAAGACAGAAGACCCUUCUAGGGUUCAGGAAAGGAAAGCAUCUCUUUGGGGGCAUUGUGUGACAAUCCCAUCAUCCACUAUUCAGAGACCAUAUGAAGACAACUUUGGAUCUGUAUUUAGUGACAAUUGCAUUUUUUUGGUCAUUUCCUCAAAGCCCAUUUUUUAAUUUAGAAAAAGAGACCAUCUUAUCAUCAUCAUCAUCAUCAUCAUCAUCAUCAUCAUCAUCACCAGAACUUAAAUACAGUUUUAUUUCUUGUGGGAAGAAGAUUUUGUAAAUACAGAAAUUUAAGACUUCUUAUAUUCAGUGGGCAAGCUCCUGUGAGGGUCAAUGCUCAGUGUUACAUGAACACUGAGAGGUUCACAAGAGGCAAACCAAACCCUCUUCCUUUUAAAAAAUUCUGCCAAAUAUUUGUUCAACAGAGAAAUAUGUCCUCUACAUUAGCAUCCUGUGGCUAACUGGGCUUCCUUUUGUUACAGUUCUCUUCCCUCACUAUAAAAUAAAUGUGCCCUGGCUUGCAGGCUCCAAGGACUCAGGCAGCAUUUCUGACCAUGGGGCAGAGGUAAUAAUUAGGAAAGAACAUAUUGCUAUUGAUAGGUGUAAACUCAAGGGCAGGCACUCAAAAGUCCAAUCUAUGUUAUGUAAAAGAAGGUCAUGACUAAAGCCAAGGAACCAAAUGCUCCAGGGAAAUCCGGGCAGUAGCAGGAACAGUAUUUCUGAAGGUAUUAGCAGAUUGCUACUGCUCAUCCUGGGCAGAUAGAGACUGCGGUUUCUCCCUGCUAGAAAAGAUGAAGGAUGCAGAGUUGAGACCAUGUGGGACUGCCAGCUAAGAAGUAGCAGGUCUUACAGAACUGCCUGGCUGAGGAUGGCGGGGGCAUUGAUGUCCCAUAUGGCAGUGGGCAGCCGCUGACCCUGCCCUGAAGAGGCACACCAUUUUCAGAGGCUCUGAGUCUCAAGGGGAGUAAAAGGAAUAAGCAAGCUGUGUUUUACUACUUGUGUAGAUAUUGUAAUUCCCUUCUCAGAAGAUCUUGAUGGUUCUUAUCUUUUAAUCACUGCUUAGUUUUCCUCAGGCAGAUCAUUAAGAGAGAUCCUGGGAGACACCAGUAGAUUUGCAAAGCAGUUUGCUCAAGCUUGGUAAAUUAACAGCAUAAGCUGAUUUUCCUGGUUUAUUUUAGAACUGUUGUUAGCUCUCACUUUCUAGGAUUUGGUCCAAGACAGAAGACCCUUCUAGGGUUCAGGAAAGGAAAGCAUCUCUUUGGGGGCAUUGUGUGACAAUCCCAUCAUCCACUAUUCAGAGACCAUAUGAAGACAACUUUGGAUCUGUAUUUAGUGACAAUUGCAUUUUUUUGGUCAUUUCCUCAAAGCCCAUUUUUUAAUUUAGAAAAAGAGACCAUCUUAUCAUCAUCAUCAUCAUCAUCAUCAUCAUCAUCAUCAUCACCAGAACUUAAAUACAGUUUUAUUUCUUGUGGGAAGAAGAUUUUGUAAAUACAGAAAUUUAAGACUUCUUAUAUUCAGUGGGCAAGCUCCUGUGAGGGUCAAUGCUCAGUGUUACAUGAACACUGAGAGGUUCACAAGAGGCAAACCAAACCCUCUUCCUUUUAAAAAAUUCUGCCAAAUAUUUGUUCAACAGAGAAAUAUGUCCUCUACAUUAGCAUCCUGUGGCUAACUGGGCUUCCUUUUGUUACAGUUCUCUUCCCUCACUAUAAAAUAAAUGUGCCCUGGCUUGCAGGCUCCAAGGACUCAGGCAGCAUUUCUGACCAUGGGGCAGAGGUAAUAAUUAGGAAAGAACAUAUUGCUAUUGAUAGGUGUAAACUCAAGGGCAGGCACUCAAAAGUCCAAUCUAUGUUAUGUAAAAGAAGGCCCAUGGCUCCUGUUCAAUUUUGCUCUCAUUUUGCCUGAUACUUGCAUGUGCCAAAAGUGUGGAAAUAGUUAAUAAGGGGGUGAGUUUUAAAGGAUGUAUGAGCUUUUGUUUGAUUUUAUAUCUUUUGAUCAUUGGAAAUCCUCGUACUUGAACCUGUUUCAAUUGUGGAAGACUUCAACUGGUAAAACACUGAAGACCAGAGCUAGCUGUGGCAGAGGGAGCAGGUGGGACAUCCAGAAACAGUUGGGAAAGCCCUUUUCAUCCAUUCUCAGAAUGGCAACUUUUUGACCCUGAAAAAUGCACAGAGCCCACCUUGAAGUCAAAUACAGGAAGGGUCAACAGCAGGGCUAGAGCAGGAGAAGCAAAACGAGAUGGAGGACAAAGAUCUCACAUCUAAAGUAAAUGUCUCUUUAAUUACCACACACAAAAAAAAUGAAAUAGAUAUCCUUUUAGGGGACAUUGGCUAAAAUAUUAAACUGUUCAAAACACAAAGAGAUAAAUAAAAUUCUUCAUAAAGACUGUUUCUCUUUCUCUAUUAUUAUUAUUUAUCAAUUUUUAAAAGGCAGUUAAACUAUUUUUCUAUGUGCUUAAACUGCAGAGCUCUUAAUGAGCUAUCCAAUCCUUUAUUUCAUUUUUCUUGUUGCUAAUGAAAUUUUGGGGAUAACCCCAUACCCAGGCUGAUAGGAAUUUAUAGGAAGACCAAGACAGGGGAAUAUGUUCAUUGUUUUUGUUUUGUUUUGUUUUGUUUUAGUAGAGAGAGAGAGAAAAAGACAGAUGCUCGUUUAUGGUUUGGGUUGGUUUUUAAGUUGGGAUCAUUUACUUGUA